UAACGCGUGGAUAAUCUGCCUUCAAGAUGGGGAUAACGGCUGGAAACGGUCGCUAAUACCGAAUAAGCUGUAGGUUUUGAAUUUACGGUAAAGAUGGCCUCUGCAUGCAAGCUAUCGCUUGAAGAUGAGUCCGCGUCCCAUUAGCUGGUUGGCGGGGUAACGGCCCACCAAGGCGACGAUGGGUAGCCGGUCUGAGAGGAUGAUCGGCCACACUGGGACUGGAACACGGCCCAGACUCCUACGGGAGGCAGCAGUGGGGAAUAUUGCGCAAUGGGCGAAAGCCUGACGCAGCGACGCCGCGUGAGGGAUGAAGGUCUUCGGAUCGUAAACCUCUGUCAGGAGGGAAGAAGUGGUUAUAUGCGAAUAGUGUAUGACUUUGACGGUACCUCCAAAGGAAGCACCGGCUAACUCCGUGCCAGCAGCCGCGGUAAUACGGAGGGUGCGAGCGUUAAUCGGAAUCACUGGGCGUAAAGCGCGCGUAGGCGGCUUUUCAAGUCAGGGGUGAAAUCCCACGGCCCAACCGUGGAACUGCCUUUGAAACUGUAGAGCUUGAGUGUCGGAGAGGGUGGCGGAAUUCCAGGUGUAGGAGUGAAAUCCGUAGAUAUCUGGAGGAACACCGGUGGCGAAGGCGGCCACCUGGACGACAACUGACGCUGAGGUGCGAAAGCGUGGGUAGCAAACAGGAUUAGAUACCCUGGUAGU
RNAcentral lists this ribosomal RNA (702 nucleotides) under uncultured bacterium. Its description in RNAcentral is "bacterial SSU rRNA". It matches the Rfam family "Bacterial small subunit ribosomal RNA", at positions 111 to 794 of the family's 1533-position model. The record is from RNAcentral.